Molecule: long non-coding RNA, 909 nt
Organism: Oryzias melastigma (Indian medaka)
Lineage: Eukaryota; Metazoa; Chordata; Actinopteri; Beloniformes; Adrianichthyidae
Exons: 3
Source: RefSeq, a predicted model, not a curated record
AGAAAUCCUGGAGCUCACCGACCACUGGGAAGAGGAGCUGACUGACGUGGUUUCCCAGCUGAAGAAGACGGAGCAUUCUCACUGUGUGCAGAUCAGCGUAAUCCAACAUGGAAUCACUAAAUGGCUCUCCCUUAUCACUGCUCAAAUUAAGUGUCCUGAUCUCAAACAUGAAGAAAACUCUGUGGAAGAGAUUCACGCAGAUUUGAUGCAGUGGUCACAAUUUCUGCAGAGCAGCAGGGGAUCAUUAGAAUUUUGCCUCUGAGUUGUGGGCGGGACUGUUGGUGCACAGUAAGUCUGCCUCCUUCCAGUCAUUCUUCUGUUUACACUAGGCGUGUUUGAGAUCACCCAGGCAGACAGCACUGCGCAGAUCGCCUGGAUUGCAGUGCAUGCUGGGAAGUUUUUGCUCAGACGUCACAUGUUAAUCAUUAUAAAAAUUUCCAGAGAAAGGACUGGGUGUAAGGCGCCUAGGUAGCAGGAGGAAAUCUGGCACUGCGCUGAAUGUAAGCCACCUUGUUACUUCAAAACAAUGCAUUGUGGGAGAUGGUGUCCUGAAAGUUAUACUCCGAACAAAAGGAGCUCAAUGAAGGAAAUCUGUGUAUUUUUCUUAACUCUGCAAGAAGUGAAUCUCUGAUGAAAAAAUAAACAAGAUUUAUAUUUAUACAAAUGAUUUUAGUAAUUGAAAUCAGCAUCACUCGUAUUAUUUCAUUAUUCAAAAUUAUUUUACUUGAAACAAUAAAUUAUUUUAUGUUUUCUACUGAUAAUCGUUUAGGUUUCAUUGCUAAAUAUAAGACAGACAUUUGCAUUUAUGCAACAAAAGGAACUCAAAAGUAAAAUCAUCUGUGGUUAUGUGUGUAAUUGUAUUGUUUAAAAUACUAAAGGGGAGAGGCAUUUAGCGGGCUGCCCGGUGGC